This 369-nucleotide ribosomal RNA is filed under the name uncultured Streptococcus sp. Its description in RNAcentral is "bacterial SSU rRNA". It matches the Rfam family "Bacterial small subunit ribosomal RNA", at positions 1017 to 1382 of the family's 1533-position model. Lineage: Bacteria; Bacillati; Bacillota; Bacilli; Lactobacillales; Streptococcaceae. The record is from RNAcentral.
ACUUCGGUACAUCGGUGACAGGUGGUGCAUUGGUUUGUCGUCAGCUCGUGUCGUGAGAUUGUUUGGGUUUAAGUCCCGCAACGAGCGCAACCCCUAUUGUUUAGUUGCCAUCAUUCAGUUUGGGCACUCUAGCGAGACUGCCGGUAAUAAACCGGAGGAAGUGGGAUGACGUCAAAUCAUCAUGCCCCUUAUGACCUGGGCUACACACGUGCUACAAUGGUUGGUACAACGAGUUGCGAGUCGGUGACGGCGAGCUAAUCUCUUAAAGCCAAUCUCAGUUCGGAUUGUAGGCUGCAACUCGCCUACAUGAAGUCGGAAUCGCUAGUAAUCGCGGAUCAGCACGCCGCGGUGAAUACGUUCCCGGGCCUU